This 619-nucleotide ribosomal RNA is filed under the name uncultured bacterium. RNAcentral describes it as "bacterial SSU rRNA". It matches the Rfam family "Bacterial small subunit ribosomal RNA", at positions 56 to 724 of the family's 1533-position model. The record is from RNAcentral.
UGCAGUCGUACGAAGGCUUCGGCCUUAGUGGCGCACGGGUGAGUAACACGUGGGAACCUGCCUUCUGGUUCGGGAUAACGUCUGGAAACGGACGCUAACACCGGAUACGCCCUUCGGGGGAAAGUUUACGCCAGGAGAGGGGCCCGCGUCCGAUUAGGUAGUUGGUGGGGUAACGGCCUACCAAGCCGACGAUCGGUAGCUGGUCUGAGAGGAUGAUCAGCCACACUGGGACUGAGACACGGCCCAGACUCCUACGGGAGGCAGCAGUGGGGAAUAUUGGACAAUGGGGGCAACCCUGAUCCAGCAAUGCCGCGUGAGUGAUGAAGGCCUUCGGGUUGUAAAGCUCUUUCGCACGCGACGAUGAUGACGGUAGCGUGAGAAGAAGCCCCGGCUAACUUCGUGCCAGCAGCCGCGGUAAUACGAAGGGGGCUAGCGUUGUUCGGAAUUACUGGGCGUAAAGGGCGCGUAGGCGGCCCGUUCAGUCAGAUGUGAAAGCCCCGGGCUCAACCUGGGAAUUGCAUUUGAUACUGGCGGGCUUGAGUUCCGGAGAGGGUGGUGGAAUUCCCAGUGUAGAGGUGAAAUUCGUAGAUAUUGGGAAGAACACCGGUGGCGAAGGCGG